GCUCAGGAUGAACGCUAGCGGCAGGCUUAACACAUGCAAGUCGAGGGGCAGCGGGGAGGAAGCUUGCUUUCUCCGCCGGCGACCGGCGCACGGGUGAGUAACACGUAUGCAACCUGCCCCUGUCAGGGGGACAACCCGCCGAAAGGCGGGCUAAACCCGCGUACAUGCCACCGGGGCAUCCCGGAGGCAGGAAAGGCUUCGGCCGGACAGGGAUGGGCAUGCGGCGCAUUAGGCAGUAGGCGGGGUAACGGCCCACCUAACCGACGAUGCGUAGGGGUUCUGAGAGGAAGGUCCCCCACACUGGUACUGAGACACGGACCAGACUCCUACGGGAGGCAGCAGUGAGGAAUAUUGGUCAAUGGUCGGGAGACUGAACCAGCCAAGCCGCGUGAGGGAGGAAGGUACAGAGUAUCGUAAACCUCUUUUGUCAGGGAACAAAGACUGGGACGCGUCCCCGGAUGAGUGUACCUGAAGAAAAAGCAUCGGCUAACUCCGUGCCAGCAGCCGCGGUAAUACGGAGGAUGCGAGCGUUAUCCGGAUUUAUUGGGUUUAAAGGGUGCGCAGGCGGUCUGUUAAGUCAGCGGUCAAAGCCCGGGGCUCAACCCCGGCCCGCCGUUGAAACUGGCAGUCUCGAGUUGGAGAGAAGUAUGCGGAAUGCGCGGUGUAGCGGUGAAAUGCAUAGAUAUCGCGCAGAACUCCGAUUGCGAAGGCAGCAUGCCGGCUCCACACUGACGCUGAGGCACGAAAGCGUGGGUAUCGAACAGGAUUAGAUACCCUGGUAGUCCACGCAGUAAACGAUGAAUGCUGGCUGUCCGGGGGGACUGACCCCUGGGUGGCGAAGCGAAAGCGAUAAGCAUUCCACCUGGGGAGUACGCCGGCAACGGUGAAACUCAAAGGAAUUGACGGGGGCCCGCACAAGCGGAGGAACAUGUGGUUUAAUUCGAUGAUACGCGAGGAACCUUACCCGGGCUCAAACGGGGAGUGCCGCAGGCAGAGACGCCUGUUUCCCACGGGACACUCCCCGAGGUGCUGCAUGGUUGUCGUCAGCUCGUGCCGUGAGGUGUCGGCUUAAGUGCCAUAACGAGCGCAACCCCCGCGUGCAGUUGCUAACAGAUAACGCUGAGGACUCUGCACGGACUGCCGGCGCAAGCCGCGAGGAAGGCGGGGAUGACGUCAAAUCAGCACGGCCCUUACGUCCGGGGCGACACACGUGUUACAAUGGGUGGUACAGCGGGAAGCCAGGCGGCGACGCCGAGCGGAACCCGAAAUCCACUCUCAGUUCGGAUCGGAGUCUGCAACCCGACUCCGUGAAGCUGGAUUCGCUAGUAAUCGCGCAUCAGCCAUGGCGCGGUGA
RNAcentral lists this ribosomal RNA (1354 nucleotides) under uncultured bacterium. Its description in RNAcentral is "bacterial SSU rRNA". It matches the Rfam family "Bacterial small subunit ribosomal RNA", at positions 22 to 1365 of the family's 1533-position model. The record is from RNAcentral.